AACCAAAACUCUGUCGUUUUAGUUUCAUCCAAUUUAUUCCAGGUGCUCCCGAUAGCUGUUCUUUUUCCCCUUAACAAAAUUUCCCCCAUUCCAUCUCUUCUCUUUUAAUCCCUAAAUUUUCAUCCCCAAGUUCCCAACCCAUUUGCCACCGAAGACGCCAACCGGACCACCUAGUGCAUCGCCUUCGACUAACCUCUCUGCUGCGUCGCCGUCGUCGUCGCUCUCCACUCCUAAAAAAUAAAUUUUGCUUACCCGCUCAUUACUCCCUCUUCUUCUCAUCUGUUUCUUAAAGCCCUAUGUAUACUGAUUGGUUGAGCUACUUUGGUCUCUCAACGAGAACUUCACAUGCUGAGGCUUAGUUGUCAGCAGUAGCCCAAUCUUGAGAAUAAUGAUCAAUUUGUUUCUCAGUAGUUAACCUAGUAAAAAGUCUCUUGAAGAGCCAUCCACAUGUAUUCUUUUUCUUUUAAUAACAUUUUUUCCCCAGAUUCUGUGGCCAGGUGUUACAUUCUUUACAAAAGCAGGGAAUAUUCAUGGAAAAUUUGAGAAUACUCAGCCUAACCAGACACCUUCGCAGAACUUCAGCCAAUUUGGUGGGGGUAAUAUCAAUAAACCAGGGUCCUUUGAGGAACAACUUGAGGCAGCUCGUAGAGCAAGCAACAUUAAAAAGAUGCUUUUCGAUGGAGCUCCAACAGCCUUAGUUAGCUUAAUCGGGAAGAAGCAAUACAGACGAUGUGCAAGAGACAUAUAUUUUUUCACUCAGGAUCUUAUGGUGGAUCUUCAUGGAAAGAAACAUAUUAAAGUUGCAUAAGAAGUUGCGGUUUCUAUUUCUGUGAAGGAAGUCUGCUGUUGUCUCAAUUACAUCCAUGAAAGUUUAGAAAAUGAAAAACGAUGCAGUCAACCAUCACCAUUGGCUUUGCCUGUGACAUUCACUGCUAUACCAAAUUACUAAUUGUGACUGAGAGUGGCAUUGCUGAUCAGAUGCGGCUGACAGAACUAAUAUUGAAUGAUUUUUGCUCAAUAGUGCUCAAAUUUUUGAGAAAAUAUUUGGAGACGAAUUGAUCAUGGAUAUUAUUGGUUCUCUUGAAUGUAAGUAUAUCACUAUUUGUUUACAAAUAUAUUAUCAGGGACUGUUGGUGGAUUGAAUUGAAUGUUCAAUUUGCAACUUCAUUUGAUUGUUUGGAUGCGGGCUUAUAGUUAUAAGAUUUUGUACAAUUAUUUUUUAUGAUAAUAACAUUUUAAUAUAUUUUUCCUUUUUGAAUGUUCCUAUGUUUUAUGUCUAUUUCCCAAAAUUUGUCUAUUGCUUAGUAGUUUAGCUUGUUUUGGUAGGCAGUUUCUUCUUCUCUGGUUUGCAGAUGAUCCUAAUGUUCCUCAGGUGCAACACUAUCGGAAUUUUCUGAAAGAACAUGUUGGUUUUAAGGAGGUUAUUUCUUUAUUGAAGGACGACAGCACCUUUAUUCAAGAAUUGUUUGCUAGGUUGAGAUCACCCACCACAUCUGCUGAAUCAAAGAAGAAUUUGGAAAAACCAACUACACUAGAUUGCAGUCCAAGAACAAUUUGCAGAAGGCACAUAAUGGCUGGGUCCUACCUCUACAAAUGCAUAUAGAAGGCAUUGCAGCAGCGAAUAAGAAUGAUAUUGAUCAACAUGCAGUUGACACUGUAUGUGCUCUGAAUCCGAAUUCAGGUGUGAGUUUCAGAUAUUUUAUGUGCAAAAAAGUAUUAGAGUGCCUUAUGUUUGUAUGUUAGUUAAGCAGAUUAUAGUUAGAACCUGCAGUAGGAUUGAUCAAAAAUUACACCCAGUUUUGUAAUAGUCUACUUGCAUAUUUGCAUAUAUUUAAUAAUAAUCUUGUGUCAACUAA
RNA transcript from Gossypium arboreum, 1856 nucleotides. RefSeq lists it as uncharacterized. Lineage: Eukaryota; Viridiplantae; Streptophyta; Magnoliopsida; Malvales; Malvaceae. The record is from RefSeq and is a predicted model, not a curated record. The transcript has 7 exons.